GACGAACCGUGCGAACGUUAUUCGGAAUCACUGGGCUUAAAGCGCGUGUAGGCGGGACGGCGCGUCGGUCGCUGAAAUCCCCCGGCUCAACCGGGGAACGGGCGCCGAUACGGCCAUCCUGGAGGGGGGUAGGGGGGCCUGGAACUUCCGGUGGAGCGGUGAAAUGCGUUGAGAUCGGAAGGAACGCCCGUGGCGAAAGCGAGGCCCUGGACCUUUUCUGACGCUGAGACGCGAAAGCCAGGGGAGCGAACGGG
Molecule: ribosomal RNA, 254 nt
Filed under: uncultured prokaryote
Description: partial 16S ribosomal RNA
Rfam family: Bacterial small subunit ribosomal RNA
Source: RNAcentral